Molecule: ribosomal RNA, 253 nt
Filed under: uncultured bacterium
Lineage: Bacteria
Description: partial 16S ribosomal RNA
Rfam family: Bacterial small subunit ribosomal RNA
Source: RNAcentral
UACGUAAGUGGCGAGCGUUGUCCGGACUUACUGGGCGUAAAGGGAGCGUAGGCGGAUUUUUAAGUGAGAUGUGAAAUACUCGGGCUCAACUUGAGUGCUGCAUUUCAAACUGGAAGUCUAGAGUGCAGGAGAGGGGAAUGGAAUUCCUAGUGUAGCGGUGAAAUGCGUAGAGAUUAGGAAGAACACCAGUGGCGAAGGCGAUUCUCUGGACUGUAACUGACGCUGAGGCUCGAAAGCGUGGGGAGCAAACAGG